CAAAUCAAUUAAAUUGCUUAAUAUGUGAUGAAUAAUGCAUAUGGUCAAAUAAAUCAUGUUGAAUCAUGAAUAAUUGGUAUAUUUACAUAUAUUUUACACAUGAUUCCAUCUAACUUCCAAAUUAACUCUCCACUUAAGUUUUCAAACUAUCGGCUAAUCAACAAUAAUGUCAUUUAACUAGGCCAAUAACUAAUAAAGUCAUUGAAUUUUAAUAAUAGUGCACUUAAGUCCUAAUUUUAAACCUAACGACUAGUAAUAAAAAUUCUGGACAUUGCGCUUAGGCACUAGGAUGGCUGCUUUUUAGAAACAUUAAAAGCCACCUAGCCUAUGAUUGAUGGACCUAUGAGAGCACACCUUUGCCAUCAAGAGAGACCACGUGUCUUUUUAUCCAACGGUCAGUAUCACAUCUAUUUUAUUAUAAAAGCUUAUAAUUAGUGUCAUUUGAAGAUAAUGCAAUUAUAAACACUCAACCGAUAAUCUUCCAUACACUACUCUUGGUGUCCGAACAAUUAAGUGGCUUACGUCUCAAGCAGUUCUCACACCCCAUAAACUAUCAUCAUCGAUUGACUUAACCGUCAAAGUGCUCGCGGCCAUUACAGCUGACGGUUUGUGCAAGGGUGCAUGAACUAG
This 630-nucleotide long non-coding RNA is filed under the name Olea europaea subsp. europaea. Lineage: Eukaryota; Viridiplantae; Streptophyta; Magnoliopsida; Lamiales; Oleaceae. The record is from RNAcentral.